Bos taurus (domestic cattle) is the source of this 408-nucleotide long non-coding RNA. The record is from Ensembl. NCBI's taxonomy places the organism in Eukaryota, Metazoa, Chordata, Mammalia, Artiodactyla, Bovidae.
ACUUGGAAUUGGCCAAUUGAAGCACUGGCAGGAGAUUGGUGUCUAAAGGAAGAGAGAGGGUCAGGAGCCUCUUCCAGUGGGCCAUCUGCUUCCUGGUGGAACCUUGACAGAUCAGACACUUCCUCUUGUUGAUGACCUACUGUGUGCCAGAACCGCAUCUUGGAACCCUUCACGGAACAGCUGCUGGAAGAAUUUUUGAAAUGGCUUUUGCGAGAAAGUUCAAACCCUGGAAUGACUAAGUCUCUGGAAGAAUUUGGACUUUAUAAGAAAACAGAGGGAAGGUGUGGUCUCCCCAAGGUCACCCAGCUGGACACUGGCAGGAUUCAAACCCAAGCUGUCUGCCGCCAAAGCCCAUAGUCUCCAUUCUGCUGCACAUACCACUGAAGCAUCAAGGGGGGUCUCCUGGGG